GACGAACGCUGGCGGCGUGCUUAACACAUGCAAGUCGAACGGAAAGGCCCUGCUUUUGUGGGGUGCUCGAGUGGCGAACGGGUGAGUAACACGUGAGUAACCUGCCCUUGACUUUGGGAUAACUUCAGGAAACUGGGGCUAAUACCGGAUAGGAGCUCCUGCUGCAUGGUGGGGGUUGGAAAGUUUCGGCGGUUGGGGAUGGACUCGCGGCUUAUCAGCUUGUUGGUGGGGUAGUGGCUUACCAAGGCUUUGACGGGUAGCCGGCCUGAGAGGGUGACCGGCGACAUUGGGACUGAGAUACGGCCCAGACGCCUACGGUAGGCAGCAGUGGGGAAUAUUGCACAAUGGGCGGAAGCCUGAGGCAGCAACGCCGGGUGCGGGAUGACGGCCUUCGGGUUGUAAACCGCUGUCGCCUGUGACGAAGCGUGAGUGACGGUAAUGGGUAAAGAAGCACCGGCUAACUACGUG
Molecule: ribosomal RNA, 468 nt
Filed under: uncultured bacterium
Lineage: Bacteria
Description: partial 16S ribosomal RNA
Rfam family: Bacterial small subunit ribosomal RNA
Source: RNAcentral